UACGGGGGGGGCAAGCGUUGUUCGGAAUUACUGGGCGUAAAGGGUUCGUAGGUGGCUCGCUAAGUCAGACGUGAAAUCCCUCAGCUUAACUGGGGAACUGCGUCUGAGACUGGCGAGCUCGAGUGCAGGAGAGGAACGCGGAAUUCCAGGUGUAGCGGUGAAAUGCGUAGAUAUCUGGAGGAACACCGGUGGCGAAGGCGGCAUCCUGGACCAAUUCUGACACUGAGGAGCGAAAGCCAGGGGAGCAAACGGG
Molecule: ribosomal RNA, 253 nt
Filed under: uncultured bacterium
Lineage: Bacteria
Description: partial 16S ribosomal RNA
Rfam family: Bacterial small subunit ribosomal RNA
Source: RNAcentral